Molecule: transfer RNA, 65 nt
Filed under: Drupella rugosa
Lineage: Eukaryota; Metazoa; Mollusca; Gastropoda; Neogastropoda; Muricidae
Description: tRNA-Phe
Rfam family: tRNA
About the family: Transfer RNA (tRNA) molecules are approximately 80 nucleotides in length. Their secondary structure includes four short double-helical elements and three loops (D, anti-codon, and T loops).
Source: RNAcentral
GCAUUGAUAGCUUACUUAGAGCAUAGCACUGAAGAUGCUAAGGCGACAAUAAUUGUCUCAAAGCA